This 253-nucleotide ribosomal RNA is filed under the name uncultured bacterium. RNAcentral's name for it is "partial 16S ribosomal RNA". It matches the Rfam family "Bacterial small subunit ribosomal RNA", at positions 524 to 776 of the family's 1533-position model. The record is from RNAcentral.
UACGGAGGGAGCUAGCGUUGUUCGGAAUUACUGGGCGUAAAGCGCACGUAGGCGGCUAUUCAAGUCAGAGAUGAAAGCCCGGGGCUCAACCCCGGAACUGCCUUUGAAACUAGAUAGCUAGAAUCUUGGAGAGGUCAGUGGAAUUCCGAGUGUAGAGGUGAAAUUCGUAGAUAUUCGGAAGAACACCAGUGGCGAAGGCGACUGACUGGACAAGUAUUGACGCUGAGGUGCGAAAGCGUGGGGAGCAAACAGG